GAUGAACGCUGGCGGCGUGCUUAACACAUGCAAGUCGAACGGAAAGGCCCAAGCUUGCUUGGGUACUCGAGUGGCGAACGGGUGAGUAACACGUGGGUGAUCUGCCCUGCACUUCGGGAUAAGCCUGGGAAACUGGGUCUAAUACCGGAUAGGACCACAUUCUGGAUGGUGUGGUGGAAAGUUUUUCGGUGUGGGAUGAGCUCGCGGCCUAUCAGCUUGUUGGUGGGGUAAUGGCCUACCAAGGCGUCGACGGGUAGCCGGCCUGAGAGGGUGUACGGCCACAUUGGGACUGGGAUACGGCCCAGACUCCUACGGGAGGCAGCAGUAGGGAAUAUUACACAAUGGGAGCAAGCCUGAUGCAGCGACGCCGCGUGGGGGAUGACGGCCUUCGGGUUGUAAACUCCUUUCGCUAGGGACGAAGCGUUAUGUGACGGUACCUGGAGAAGAAGCACCGGCUAACUACGUG
Molecule: ribosomal RNA, 466 nt
Filed under: uncultured bacterium
Lineage: Bacteria
Description: partial 16S ribosomal RNA
Rfam family: Bacterial small subunit ribosomal RNA
Source: RNAcentral